GGAGAUUUGGCUUAAUACAAGCACUUGAUUUGCAUUCAAUGGAUGUAAGAUAAAAUCUUGCAAUCCUUG
Molecule: transfer RNA, 69 nt
Filed under: Mus musculus (house mouse)
Lineage: Eukaryota; Metazoa; Chordata; Mammalia; Rodentia; Muridae
Rfam family: tRNA
About the family: Transfer RNA (tRNA) molecules are approximately 80 nucleotides in length. Their secondary structure includes four short double-helical elements and three loops (D, anti-codon, and T loops). Further hydrogen bonds mediate the characteristic L-shaped molecular structure. tRNAs have two regions of fundamental functional importance: the anti-codon, which is responsible for specific mRNA codon recognition, and the 3' end, to which the tRNAs corresponding amino acid is attached (by aminoacyl-tRNA synthetases). tRNAs cope with the degeneracy of the genetic code in two manners: having more than one tRNA (with a specific anti-codon) for a particular amino acid; and 'wobble' base-pairing, i.e. permitting non-standard base-pairing at the 3rd anti-codon position.
Source: Rfam by way of RNAcentral